This 541-nucleotide ribosomal RNA is filed under the name Bifidobacterium bifidum. RNAcentral describes it as "bacterial SSU rRNA". It matches the Rfam family "Bacterial small subunit ribosomal RNA", at positions 157 to 710 of the family's 1533-position model. Lineage: Bacteria; Bacillati; Actinomycetota; Actinomycetes; Bifidobacteriales; Bifidobacteriaceae. The record is from RNAcentral.
CGGGUGGUAAUGCCGGAUGUUCCACAUGAUCGCAUGUGAUUGUGGGAAAGAUUCUAUCGGCGUGGGAUGGGGUCGCGUCCUAUCAGCUUGUUGGUGAGGUAACGGCUCACCAAGGCUUCGACGGGUAGCCGGCCUGAGAGGGCGACCGGCCACAUUGGGACUGAGAUACGGCCCAGACUCCUACGGGAGGCAGCAGUGGGGAAUAUUGCACAAUGGGCGCAAGCCUGAUGCAGCGACGCCGCGUGAGGGAUGGAGGCCUUCGGGUUGUAAACCUCUUUUGUUUGGGAGCAAGCCUUCGGGUGAGUGUACCUUUCGAAUAAGCGCCGGCUAACUACGUGCCAGCAGCCGCGGUAAUACGUAGGGCGCAAGCGUUAUCCGGAUUUAUUGGGCGUAAAGGGCUCGUAGGCGGCUCGUCGCGUCCGGUGUGAAAGUCCAUCGCUUAACGGUGGAUCUGCGCCGGGUACGGGCGGGCUGGAGUGCGGUAGGGGAGACUGGAAUUCCCGGUGUAACGGUGGAAUGUGUAGAUAUCGGAAAAAAAAAC